Molecule: long non-coding RNA, 356 nt
Filed under: Homo sapiens (human)
Lineage: Eukaryota; Metazoa; Chordata; Mammalia; Primates; Hominidae
Description: HSALNT0363146
Source: RNAcentral
CAAAGAAGAGGGUGGGUCACACUCUGUGUCAGGAUCCAGAGUACAGGCUGCACAUUCAGCAGAAACAUUCAGCUCGGGAUACCUCACAUGCCCCUUGGCCUCCCUGGCCAAACUAAGGAGUCAACAAACAUUGGUAGGGAAGAGGGGAGGAGAGGGCUGGACGGGAAAAGAAUUCGUGGCUGGAGCCAGCUGGCCUGAAAUUUACAUGGAACCAAAGAUGGAAAACUGGAUUCACCGUGUUGUCUUGUACUCUGUAUUUGGAGUUUAUUGCUGCAUAGGAGCAUGAGUUUUACCAAGACCAUGCCCAGCCUCCGUCAGCAGAGGGAAUGGUCUGGUUCCUGGGGAAGGCGACACAG